RNAcentral lists this ribosomal RNA (433 nucleotides) under uncultured Peptococcus sp. RNAcentral describes it as "bacterial SSU rRNA". It matches the Rfam family "Bacterial small subunit ribosomal RNA", at positions 957 to 1382 of the family's 1533-position model. The record is from RNAcentral. Lineage: Bacteria; Bacillati; Bacillota; Clostridia; Eubacteriales; Peptococcaceae.
CAACGCGCAGAACCUUACCUGGUUCUUUGACAUCCCGAGAAUUUUCUGGAAACAGAGAAGUGCCCUCGCAAGAGGAAAUUUCGGGAGACAGGUGCUGCAUGGCUGUCGUCAGCUCGUGUCGUGAGAUGUUGGGUUAAGUCCCGCAACGAGCGCAACCCUUGUCUUUAGUUGCCAUCAUUAAGUUGGGCACUCUAAAGAGACUGCCGGUGUCAAACCGGAGGAAGGUGGGAUGACGUCAAAUCAUCAUGCCCCUUAUGUUCUGGGCUACACACGUGCUACAAUGGCCGGUACAGACGGACGCAAAGCCGCGAGGUGGAGCAAAUCCUAAAAAGCCGGUCUCAGUUCGGAUUGCAGGCUGCAAUUCGCCUGCAUGAAGUCGGAAUCGCUAGUAAUCGCAGGUCAGCAUACUGCGGUGAAUACGUUCCCGGGCCUU